AGCGAACGUUUGCGGCGGGCCUAACACAUGCAAGUCGAACGGGCUAGCAAUAGUCAGUGGCGCACGGGUGCGUAACACGUGGGUAAUCAACCCUUCAGCUCGGGAUAACGCCUUGAAAGGGGCGCUAAUACCGGAUGCGACGCGAGGAGCCUCGGCGCUUCGCGGGAAAGAUUCGCAAGGAUCACUGAAGGACGAGCCUGCGGCCCAUCAGCUAGUUGGUGAGGUAAGAGCUCACCAAGGCGAAGACGGGUAGCUGGUCUGAGAGGAUGAUCAGCCACACUGGAACUGAGACACGGUCCAGACUCCUACGGGAGGCAGCAGGUGGGGAAUAUUGCGCAAGUGGGACGAAAGCCUGACGCAGCCACGCCGCGUGAGCGAUGAAGGCC
This 386-nucleotide ribosomal RNA is filed under the name uncultured bacterium. RNAcentral's name for it is "bacterial SSU rRNA". It matches the Rfam family "Bacterial small subunit ribosomal RNA", at positions 29 to 416 of the family's 1533-position model. The record is from RNAcentral.